Hydra vulgaris (swiftwater hydra) is the source of this 343-nucleotide non-coding RNA. The record is from RefSeq and is a predicted model, not a curated record. NCBI's taxonomy places the organism in Eukaryota, Metazoa, Cnidaria, Hydrozoa, Anthoathecata, Hydridae.
UGCAAAUUUCAUAAUUCAUAAGAAUCUUAUAAAUCCAUUAGCAAGUAUAUAUUUUUAUCAUUAAAAAUUUGACCCUCUUUCUUUAAUUUUAUCUGUUUUAUUAGUGAUUGUUGUAUUUACUUUUAUAAAUUCUAAAUAUAAUAUGUAAUUAGUUGUAUAGUUUCUUAAUAAUAUAAUCAACUUUAAUGUUUAAGAUAAAGUUGUAUCCUUGAAAGAUAUGCUGGUAUUAUUGGCACAAUGGGCAAGCAUUAAAGUGCAACUUAAUGAACUACAAAACACAUUAAAUUCAGUUAUAAAAAUUUGAGUAACAAAGGUCAAUUAUUUGGCACAAAUUGGAGUUAAA